CCUACGGGAGGCAGCAGUGGGGGAUCUUUGACAAUGGGGGACACCCUGCUCCAGCGAUGCCGCGUGAGGGAAGAAGGUUUUCGGAUUGUAAACCUCUGUGGAGGGGGACGAUAAUGACGGUACCCCUUUAGGAAGCCACGGCUAACUACGUGCCAGCCGCCGCGGUAAUACGUAGGUGGCGAGCGUGUUCCGUAAGUACUGGGUGUACAGGGAGUGUAGGCGGGAAAGCAAGUCAGAAGUGAAAACUAUGGGCUUAACCCAUAGCCUGCUUUUGAAACUGUUUUUCUUGAGUGAAGUAGAGGCAAGCGGAAUUCCGAGUGUAGCGGUGAAAUGCGUAGAUAUGAGGAGGAACACCAGUGGCGAAGGCGGCUGGCUGGGCUUUUACUGACGCUGAGGCUCGAAAGCGUGGGGAGCAAACAGGAUUAGAUACCCGAGUAGUC
Molecule: ribosomal RNA, 440 nt
Filed under: uncultured bacterium
Lineage: Bacteria
Description: partial 16S ribosomal RNA
Rfam family: Bacterial small subunit ribosomal RNA
Source: RNAcentral